This is a long non-coding RNA of Myotis lucifugus (little brown bat), 254 nucleotides long. RefSeq lists it as uncharacterized. NCBI's taxonomy places the organism in Eukaryota, Metazoa, Chordata, Mammalia, Chiroptera, Vespertilionidae. The record is from RefSeq and is a predicted model, not a curated record. The transcript is spliced from 2 exons.
UGUAUGUUUCAGGGAGAAGAAGAUCUGGAUUCUGCCCAGACGUGACCAGAGGAGGCGUUGGGAUCUGUGAAGAUAGUUGCUGGGGAGAUAACUCAUGUCCCAGGGGAAUGAAAUGCUGCUUCAAUGGAUGUGGCCGUGCUUGCCAACCUGCUAUCUAUUAUGCGUCUAUCCCAGAAAAUGAAGAUCGACCGUGGUGGAAUGUCUGAUUCUAAAGAGCUUGUGUCCAAAAUAAAUCUUACCUGGUGCAUCACUGA